Molecule: ribosomal RNA, 500 nt
Filed under: uncultured bacterium
Lineage: Bacteria
Description: bacterial SSU rRNA
Rfam family: Bacterial small subunit ribosomal RNA
Source: RNAcentral
GAGAUGAGGAGUUCCGCAAGGACAAGGAGCAAGGUGCCGCAUGGCCGUCGUCAGCUCGUGCCGUGAGGUGUUGGGUUAAGUCCCGCAACGAGCGCAACCCUUAUUUUUAGUUGCCAACAGGUCAAGCUGGGGACUCUAAAAAGACUGCCCGCGCAAGCGGAGAGGAAGGAGGGGAUGACGUCAGGUCAUCAUGGCCCUUACGUCCAGGGCUACACACGUGCUACAAUGGCGUCUACAAAGUGUUGCCAGGCAGCGAUGCCGAGCCAAUCACAAAAAGGACGUCUCAGUUCGGAUUGCAGGCUGCAACUCGCCUGCAUGAAGUUGGAAUCGCUAGUAAUCGCGCAUCAGCAAUGGCGCGGUGAAUACGUUCCCGGACCUUGUACACACCGCCCGUCAAGCGAUGGAAGUUGGAAGGACCUGAAGGCAGUUGUUGAAAGACGCUGUUUAGGGUUAAACCGAUGACUGGCGCUAAGUCGUAACAAGGUAGCCGUACCGGAAGG